RNAcentral lists this long non-coding RNA (3554 nucleotides) under Bemisia tabaci. RNAcentral's name for it is "lncRNA ENSSSA3NGG002413". The record is from RNAcentral. Lineage: Eukaryota; Metazoa; Arthropoda; Insecta; Hemiptera; Aleyrodidae.
CGAGAGAACUUUGGUGCGGAUUCUUUUGAAAAUUUUAAGGAAUUUGCUUCUUACUAUGGAAACACGACUUUUUUUUUCGAAAAAUGUCACUUCCUACGACGGCUGUUAAUUUAUCUUUGCUCUACACACACAUUCACAUGAACCGUUUUCACAGCGCUCUCUCUCUCUCCGGUGCUAUGCGACACAGUCCAACUCCGAGCUUUAAUACUUUUCUACUUCUACUUCUCCCCUACUUCUUCGUGCAUGAAAAGGGACUUCGUUGAAACACUUUCUACCUUACUGUCUUUUCAGAAUCAAUCAGACCCUCGGGAGGAUUCCUAAGAUGGUCUCUAAAAUCUGAGAGUGAGAUUUCCGGGAAGAUCAUAUUUGGAGCGUCGGUUUUUACGGGUUAAGUCCACUCGACAAAAAGCGAGGCCCAGAUGGAUGCGUUAAAUUUAAGUACUUGUUCCAGACUCACAAGAAAGGACCUCUCACAAUUAAGCUGGUGAAGACGGAAGUAUCGUCGCCUCGGGAUUCCAUCAUGUUCGACCCGACAUCCCAGCCGACGUCAACCCCAAAACUGUCAACCAAAAUAUGGUCCUCCACUGGGCAGCGCCCGAUAGUGCUUCGUUAUAGAUAUUGGACACGAGUCUCAAUAAGUGUCAACGCUCUAAGUCCCUUUGUGCUUGAUUUCGUGGCAACAUUGAAAGACGGAGUCGGCAAGUACUCGGUAAAAAUUAAUGACCUGGAAGUUCGGUACACGCCUUGCGAAAAGCCUAGCCCACAGAGUAAAGGAGUCGAUGAUGAGGCAAAGAAGUGGAAACUCGGCUGGUACAAACGGUGCUUUUCCGAGCCAUUGGGAUCGAUCUCUCGGUCAUGGUCAUCUCUUAGCGGAUCGUCGAGAAGCUCAUCAUUCAAGCCAUCGACUUAAACCACCGGCUCAUAGCGCCCGUCGCGUCGGUCGGUUUCGCAUCGAUAUUUACGAUAUAAUUAUAAGAGAAUUUAAUGUAAUCUAAAAUGAUAUAGCACUAAAACACCACCUGGGAAAAAAAGCUCAUGAAGUAUUGAAAUAAUCGCUUUGCUCGUUCGUCUCGCCCGAAUUCUCGGGUUUUUUCAAUCGAAGAAAAGAAACCGGAGUAGAUUACGAUAUACUUACGAUACAUCUGUCGCAGGCAAAUAGUGAAAUCAGGCAUUUUGUCAAAUGCCUAGGCAGAUGGUUAAAUUUUGACGGUCUACAAAAUUUGUGAAUUCAUGGCGAAGAGCUCACGUUUUAUCACUAUUUAUUGAAAAAUAACUCAUCAAACCUACGAACUCUUUUUGUCUCUUCCUCUUCAAUUGCUUUAUCAUAUUUUUAAAUGUUGAAAUUCCAAAAAUUCUGUAUUUUAUGACAUGCUGAAAAUUUCAAGAUAACUGGCUGCUCAGAAGUUCAAAAUUGUUUAAAAUACUAUUGUGUGAUGCAACUUUUUACUGAGAAUUUUUUCUCGCGUGAUCAACGAAUAAUUUUGUGUAAAAUUAGGAAAAAAAUCAACAUUUCCAUCUAAAUUGGGAUAUUUGACUAUUUGCCUAGGCAUUUGACAAAAUGCCUGAUUUACUAUUUGCCUGCGACAUAUCGAUGACCACCCGAAAGAUCGCGUCCUCGCCAUUGUUUACUGGAGUAUUGUGUGACUAACUUGUAACCUAUUCCUUACGGCUUUUGUAUCAUUGAAAAGAUUGAAUAGAUCGAAGGAUAAAGUGCCAACUUUUAUGUUCAACAAUAAUCUCUACGAAAUAGUUGAACUUCAAAUAUAUUUUUCUCGGCUCUGACAUCAAAAAUAUGGAUUUAUUUUUUUCUGCUAAACACUGCCCAUAGUUUGAAGACCUAAGAUAUACAUGGAAAAAAAGAUUUCUUGAAAGUAGGAUAAGUUAGAAAGCAAAAUAAAAAAAACCACGUUUACCGAAAAUUGUUCUGUACACUGUUCUGAAAAAAAUAACAAUAUAAUUUUUUCAUAGUUAAUCAUGGCGGGUGAAAAUUCAAGAUUCAUCCUUGAAAUUCGGUUUCGAAACUGUCUCUCCGUCAUUCACUUUUCAUGAGAUAAAAAUGCAGACCGCUGAUCUGAAUAUUCCCCUGAUCAGAUUUCAUUAUUUCACCAAACUUCUAAUUUUAAUUGCAAAAAAUGCAAGAAUGAACAAUUCUGACCGGGCUUACUGGGACGGGCGAAACUUCAGAAUUUCGAGACUUUUCUACGGAGGACGUAUGAUCUAAACUAAAAGUAUUGAUUAGCAAGAUGGAUAGUGUAUGACGUAUUGAUUCACUAACACCAAACCAGUGCCCCAGUAACACCAACGCUUAAGAAGCACUUUGAGAACUGAUCUGUGACGUACUCUACCUAAUUAAUUUCACGGGUUGAAACAUUCAAUCGCCACAAAAAUGAUAUUCAUCUAAUCUCUGUUACCUCACUAGAUUGAGUCAUGUGAUGUGAGUAGGUAACAGCUUGUGGUGGGCUGCAUGCAGUUCGAGCUUGUUCGUUAAACUCCUAUAGUGAUACAUUUCAGUAGCGCUAAGUUUCAAGAGAGAGAAUAUUUUAAUUUAUUGUUCAAAAAGUACUCGUCGCGAAUUAACCUACAACUGUGUUCAUCCUCUGAAGCUCUGUCUACGCGCGGUCAGAGAUUUUUUGAAAAUUAAGUGGGGGGGAUGGGCACUGGCAAUGUUCAGUGUACAGGGUGAUCCAAAAGUCCCGCACCCCCGGCACCAAGAAUCACCCCUGUAACUUUUCAAUAAAUUGAGAUAUGGAGAUUCGAAAUUUUAAGAGUGGUCCAAGGUCACAGGGAAGCGAAGGUGGGGAACCCCCAAGAUUGUAAGGGGUCCUCCAUGAAAUAUAGGGCAAAAUCCCUUGGGGUUAUGCGGGUGGUGCGGAACGGAAUGAAUCACCCUAUAUACAAGCACAGUAUUUUUAAAUCCUGUUAGGAUUUGCAUGACAGCAAUGAUACAGACGAGGCUUCUCGGCAACUGGUGUUACCUAUUUUUAUGCUGGGUGCUGGUGAUUUUCCAUGGAAUUCGAUCAUAUUCUUGCCGCACGACCACCCAUCAUCCAGACGCGAGAGAAGGUGAGUGCUCCUCACGCAUUUUUUUUGUCAGCGGGUCUGCAAAUGUCAGGAAAUUAAUAAGUGGCUGCUCUGCAAGGUUUUCAUAAGGCCACUUCUUUAGGAAAAAAGUUUGACCGUCCGCCUACCCUCCAAGAAGAAACCUUCUCUUUAUUCAGUCCUACACUCCCAUCUCCUAAAAAUAUGUUCAACAAAAAAGAAUGGGUAUCGAUCAGUGUUCGAAACUCACCUUUGAAUUUUAGGAGCCAUGUGGCGCAUCAAGCCCGAUUUUUAGGCGCCAUUGGAACCAAAUUGACUUUAUGCCUAUAUAUUACGGCGCAUUUAGUGAAAAGUUAGACGCAAGAUGUUUUCGUAACAGAACAAGUAGUAGCUGUAACUUGGGGAAGACAAAAGCACUAAGAAUGAAAUCGUGAAGAAUAGAAAAAGCAAGCUUUCACUUGUAAUGCUGAAAAUUCUGAGUUUUUUCAAUUCAAAUAGAUUUGUUUUUCUUUCUU